UACGGAGGAUCCGAGCAUUAUCCGGAAUUAUUGGGUUUAAAGGGUGCGUAGGCGGCCAUUUAAGUCAGCGGUGAAAUUUUGCAGCUUAACUGUAACAGUGCCGUUGAUACUGGGGAGCUAGGAUUUGGUUGCUGUGGGUGGAAUGUGUGGUGUAGCGGUGAAAUGCUUAGAGAUCACACAGAAUAUCGAUUGCGAAGGCAGCUCACAAAGCCAAGAUUGACGCUGAGGCACGAAAGUGUGGGGAUCAAACAGGA
This 254-nucleotide ribosomal RNA is filed under the name uncultured prokaryote. RNAcentral describes it as "partial 16S ribosomal RNA". It matches the Rfam family "Bacterial small subunit ribosomal RNA", at positions 524 to 777 of the family's 1533-position model. The record is from RNAcentral.